Molecule: RNA transcript, 1171 nt
Organism: Solea senegalensis (Senegalese sole)
Lineage: Eukaryota; Metazoa; Chordata; Actinopteri; Pleuronectiformes; Soleidae
Gene name: SAP domain-containing ribonucleoprotein-like
Exons: 4
Source: RefSeq, a predicted model, not a curated record
GUGACGAACAGACCCUCCUCCUGUGAGAUUGAAGGUGCUUUUCGCGCUCUCCAUCCGGAGCAAUAACAGUACCAGCUGGACCUACUUGGGUACUACACCCGCCAACAAAUGAACAACAGCCCUUCUCGACGAACCGUAAUUCAUCCAGGCAAGGAGCUGUCCUACAGAGAACAAGCGGCGAAACUGAUCCAGGACAUGGGACAGCAGCUCAAUGUAUAUCCUUUGUGGAGGGACGAUAUUUACGUCUCAGUUAAGUCUGCAUUAACUUUAUGACUACUUCGUAUCGUUAUACCGGUUAAACUCCAGCUUUUUUGUUAAGGUAAACUGCAUGUUUUUUGAUUCCUUUUAGGGCACUACUUUAUUGUUAACGUGUUUGCGAUAGCUAGCUAAUGUUGUUGGAGAGCGACCGUUAUUAGGCUAUAAGGCUGAAUAACAAUAAUAAUAAUACUAAUACUAACACUAACGUGUAAAAAUAGCAUUGCCUCCUUUAGUAAAAAUGUUUGUGAGACAAAUCUCCUGUCGGACAGUGUGUUAUGCAGUGAACAUGUUUUUAAGUUCAGUAUGUGUCUUGGCUUGUUUUUACGGUUAUAACCGUCAGGUGUCGUUUCUGCCGUUAGCUGCUUCCGGACAGCCCCUGACUAACCUGUGACCUGGGGUUAUUCGACCAGAGACCCCAGAACAGAGCAGAACAUGUCAAGAUGCCGGCAUCAACUGAAAGCAGAAAGGCCACACACAAGAGAGCAGAGCGAUUCAGCAUGAACAGGACGUCCAUUUCACAAAAGGUGGAAGAAGAUGGAAGGCUGAAAAAAAGAAAGGAGAGGUGUUGGAUCUCAACAAGUGCAAGUUCAGCUUGCAAAUAUGAUGUAGAGGCAAAGAAAAUGAGGCGGGAUUAAUGUUUUGGAAAAAUGUAAAUAAUUUCUUGGAGUUUGCUUUUUUUUGUUGAAAAAACAAACAAAUGUUCAAAAUGGUAUUUAUUAUGUUAUGGUUUUGUACACUGCCUCAAAUGACAGUUACCUGUACAUUUUGUAAAAUGAUUGUACUUUAAAAUAAAUGUAUAUUUUUUCUUUUACAUCUACACCCAUUAUAUCUUCUUUUUACUCUGUAUAUCAUUGCACUUCCUAUGGAGAAGCCAAAAACCUGACCUGGUUUAAAGAGUACGGUAAAUAUUUUA